AGACCCGAAACCCGGUGAUCUAGCCAUGGGCAGGUUGAAGGUUGGGUAACACUAACUGGAGGACCGAACCGACUAAUGUUGAAAAAUUAGCGGAUGACCUGUGGCUGGGGGUGAAAGGCCAAUCAAACCGGGAGAUAGCUGGUUCUCCCCGAAAGCUAUUUAGGUAGCGCCUCGUGAAUUCAUCUCCGGGGGUAGAGCACUGUUUCGGCUAGGGGGCCAUCCCGGCUUACCAACCCGAUGCAAACUGCGAAUACCGGAGAAUGUUAUCACGGGAGACACACGGCGGGUGCUAACGUCCGUCGUGAAGAGGGAAACAACCCAGACCGCCAGCUAAGGUCCCAAAGUCAUGGUUAAGUGGGAAACGAUGUGGGAAGGCCCAGACAGCCAGGAUGUUGGCUUAGAAGCAGCCAUCAUUUAAAGAAAGCGUAAUAGCUCACUGGUCGAGUCGGCCUGCGCGGAAGAUGUAACGGGGCUAAACCAUGCACCGAAGCUGCGGCAGCGACGCUGAUGCGUUGUUGGGUAGGGGAGCG
RNAcentral lists this ribosomal RNA (530 nucleotides) under Salmonella enterica. Its description in RNAcentral is "bacterial LSU rRNA". It matches the Rfam family "Bacterial large subunit ribosomal RNA", at positions 711 to 1238 of the family's 2925-position model. Lineage: Bacteria; Pseudomonadati; Pseudomonadota; Gammaproteobacteria; Enterobacterales; Enterobacteriaceae. The record is from RNAcentral. RNAcentral also lists the same sequence under 6 other names.